This 301-nucleotide ribosomal RNA is filed under the name uncultured bacterium. Its description in RNAcentral is "partial 16S ribosomal RNA". It matches the Rfam family "Bacterial small subunit ribosomal RNA", at positions 509 to 809 of the family's 1533-position model. The record is from RNAcentral.
CAGCCGCCGCGGGAAAACGAAGGGGGCUAGCGUUGUUCGGAAUUACUGGGCGUAAAGCGCACGUAGGCGGAUAUUUAAGUCAGGGGUGAAAUCCCGCAGCUCAACUGCGGAACUGCCUUUGAUACUGGGUAUCUUGAGUAUGGAAGAGGUUAGUGGAAUUGCGAGUGUAGAGGUGAAAUUCGUAGAUAUUCGCAGGAACACCAGUGGCGAAGGCGGCUAACUGGUCCAUAACUGACGCUGAGGUGCGAAAGCGUGGGGAGCAAACAGGAUUAGAGACCCGCGUAGUCCCUGUCUCUUAUAA